RNAcentral lists this ribosomal RNA (791 nucleotides) under uncultured bacterium. RNAcentral's name for it is "bacterial SSU rRNA". It matches the Rfam family "Bacterial small subunit ribosomal RNA", at positions 8 to 796 of the family's 1533-position model. The record is from RNAcentral.
AGAGUUUGAUCCUGGCUCAGGAUGAACGCUAGCGGCAGGCCUAAUACAUGCAAGUCGAACGGCAGCGGGUCCAGCAAUGGAUGCCGGCGAGUGGCGCACGGGUGCGUAACACGUAUGCAAUCUACCUGUAACCUGGGGAUAGCCCGGAGAAAUCCGGAUUAAUACCCAAUGAUAUCAUUUGAGGGCAUCUGAAGAUGAUUAAAGAUUUAUUGGUUACGGAUGAGCAUGCGUCUGAUUAGUUAGUUGGUAGGGUAACGGCCUACCAAGACGAUGAUCAGUAGGGGACCUGAGAGGGUGAUCCCCCACACUGGUACUGAGAUACGGACCAGACUCCUACGGGAGGCAGCAGUAGGGAAUAUUGGGCAAUGGACGAGAGUCUGACCCAGCCAUGCCGCGUGCAGGAAGAAGGCGUUAUGCGUUGUAAACUGCUUUUGAUCGGGAACAAAAAGUCCAUGCGUGGAUAGAUGAGUGUACCGAUAGAAUAAGCACCGGCUAACUCCGUGCCAGCAGCCGCGGUAAUACGGAGGGUGCAAGCGUUGUCCGGAUUUAUUGGGUUUAAAGGGUGCGUAGGCGGUCAACUAAGUCAGUGGUGAAAGGCAGCAGCUCAACUGUUAGCAUUGCCAUUGAUACUGGAUGACUUGAGUACAGACGAGGUAGGCGGAAUUUAUGGUAGCGGUGAAAUGCAUAGAUACCAUAAAGAACACCGAUUGCGAAGGCAGCUUACUAGGCUGUAACUGACGCUGAGGCACGAAAGCGUGGGGAUCGAACAGGAUUAGAUACCCUAGUAGUCC